GAGAAGGUGACUUUGAUGCAAUUUGGACUGAUGACACGUUCAAUAUUAAACUUUGAUGAAUAAGCGAACAGCUUAUAAAAGUUUUUGUCAAAAACGAAAAUAACAGGGUGCGCUCAGGUCUCUCUUGGUGCAGAUAUACCUGAAGAACGCCAAGUGGCUUCUCUUUUUUGGGAUAAAACAUUAGAACUUAAAGGAGAACACAAAGUUUUUGCUAGUAUGAAACAUAAUUUUAGAUGUUGACAUCGUAAUACAAUGUACAUAAUUGUGAUAAAAAGUGAAAAAAAUAAUCAUGAGUAUAUUCCUGUAGACAUGUAUUUUACCCCAGCGAUAAGGUGCUGGAAAGUUUGGAAAAUUUGACCUUGAAAAAUGUGUACGAACCCUGGUGUGUAAUCCAUUUUUAUAAUAAUAGUAGCAUAGUUAAAUUAUUCAAAUCAUUUAAUGUUUUUUUUCUUUCAUCUAGGUUGCCACCACCGCCGUCGCAGCGCCGGGGGGGGACCUUCCGCCUGUCGUCGAUCUUGGUGUCCGGCCGACACCAAGAUCCAACACAGGUAAGUGUGACGCUAACCCGCUUUCUUGCAGGUGUGCGGAGGCCCCGCUGAGGGCUUUUGUUCCUGGUCUUUGUGUCAGAGCUGCACCACUCAGUUCUGACACACUGACAUCCAUAGCAUGUGGUGUUGCAGCAGUUAUGAAACAUGUCAUCUCACCAGUGUGUACAUGGAAAGGGAAAGAUAUCGACAGCAUAGGCAUAGAAGGUGGCAAACUGGCCAGUGACAUAGUUGAAGCUAGGCAGAACGGUAGCGCUAAAUGGUUGUGUGAGUUGAUUGAGGAGCAGAAGGUGUUUGGCAGGCAGUGGCAGGUAGCUAUUCCUCCUCCAGCACGUAGUGACUUUAAGUUACUGGAGGGGGACACCAUGAUGUUUGAGAAGCUGCAAGAGCAUUUGUUGACGCAUGGCGCGUGUCUGUUGGACCUCGGUGGUGCAGUAAGUGCCAUUAUUGAUCAUAAUGAGCAUCUUGUGGUUGUUGAUUGCGGCGUGCGCGAUGCAUCUGGGAUGGCAUCUAGCAUUGGCACAUCUGUGGUUGUGUUCAACACAUCCCUUGCUGACUUGAUGCUUCACAUCCGUCAGCUGAAGGAGACUUUAGAUGCGAAGUGGUAUGCCGUCCAUGGCAUUUCCGUCAUGCCAUAUCCACUAGAUGAUGACAGUGAGAGUGCUACGUUGUUUGCAGGCGGGAGUGUUGACGUCGGUGUUGCAGCUACGCUCAAGGAUAGCGUGUCAGUCAGGCCAGAGAUCGAGGUAAGUUCCAUCAGGGGAACUUUUCACCAAGGGAACGAUCGGUUCCUACACGGAGGGCGUCAGUGUAUGGCUGUAAGUUUGGUUGCUUUGGCCAAACACAGCAUUGAUAGUGUGUUUUCUUGGCAGUCCGACGAUCUGGAUAAGGUUGUAGAGUUGGGGGACAAGCUCUACACAUCAUUGUGGGAAAGUAAGUCCAUCAGUGGGAGGUCUGAACUGCUGUGUGUUCCAGAUUUGCCCAAAGAGUCCAUCAUUGAUGGACAGGAAUUUGAGUUUGAGUAUGGUGACUAUGUUUCUGGUGAUGUUGAUGUGGUUGAGGGACAGUUUGUUGAUGAAGGUGUGUACACCACUCUCAGGAAUGGUUUGGGAGAGAUGUGUAGCAAAUAUGACACAUGCUUUCUGACUGUGAGUGGCAGCACAUGUGCUAUCAUUGGUCGAGAUGGGCAGUAUGCAGUUGUUGACUCCCACGCACGCGGUGCAGAUGGCAUGGUAGAUGAGCUCGGGUUUAGUGUUGUUGUGUAUUUUAGUUGCCUUGACCGUGUGUUUGAUCACAUAUGCAAAUUUGCCACCGCAAUGAACUCUCCAAAGCCGUUUGAGAUUGCCGGUGUUUGUGUCACUCACAAAAGUCAAAGUGCAACUGUUGAAAGCAGAGAGGUUGAGUUUGGUUGUAGCUUACCUCUUCAGCCAGCACUUGAAGUGUCGGCUGAACAGGUAACACUUGACAGCAGCAACAGUCAGACAGGUGUGAAACGCAAGAUUUCGGUGGGUGAUCGUGCAUCCAAAAAGUUGAAAAGCAGGGAUGUUAAUCUGGUUAAUUCAGACGUUGUAUUUGUCAGUGAUGUGAGAAGGAAAAGACUUGAGUUUAAUCCGCUGCGCAGCGACGUUGCACAAGCUUUGUGCAAACAGUUGAACGUGGAGUCGGAGAAACUUGAUCUGGUGUCGACAGAGGUUGGUGCGUUAGGGGCUCCUUGUAGGAACGAGCAAAUAGUUGGUGAUGGUAAUUGUUUCUUUAGAGCGGUUAGUCAAGCUGUGUGUGGCACACAGAAGAAUCAUAGAAAAAUGAGAUUAGCUGUGUUUAAGCAGUUACGGGCCAAUCCUCUAGCAUAUACUUUGCGUCGCGAGUAUUCGUCAAUGGCAGAUUAUGUGAGUAGAUCGGGAAUGCAACGUGUUGGUACUUGGGCCACUGAGGUAGAGAUUCAAGCAGCAGCAGAUUGUUUAGGAGUGAAUAUUUUCACGUAUUGUGGUGAUCGCUGGCUUGAAUACAGUUGCAAGAAUAGGCAGUUGUGCAAUCAGGCAGUGUAUUUAGAGAAUUGUAACGGUAACCAUUAUGAAAAUGUUGUUUGUGUUAUGCAGCCUGAGAUGCAGAGCUGUUAUGGGUACUGCAAAGUGAAUGCGUCUUGUUCCGGAGGGUACAAUCUUAGACGGCAAAGUAGACAGAGUAGUGUUUGUGCUGAGAGUUUAAGUCCGGUUGUUGCUUCAGGUUGUGUAGCUGAAGAAGUUAUCGAUAUUGAAGUUAUAGAACAGCAGGAUAGUACUGUGUCUAUGCAAGAGCAGUCUUCAUUUACAUUUAAGCCAACUAAUGUUAAUACUUCUAAGUAUUUGAUAAGGAAAAGGAGCUCAAAAAUAAAAAGGAAAUACCAGCUAAAUGAUUUGUAUAGGGAGAAAAAGAAGGACAAUGCUAAACAGAAAUAUAACACAAAUGGUAUGCAUAAGACGAAAGUUAUUGAAAGAAAUAAAAGACAAUAUAGGAAAAAUGAAGUGUAUAAGGAUAAAGUUAAGGAAAUGAGUGUAAAGAAAUAUAGCGAAAAUGAAGUAUUUAAGGAUAAAGUUAAGAAAAGGAGUCAAGAGAAAUAUAGCGAAAAUGAAGUAUUUAAGGAUAAAGUUAAGAAAAGGAGUCAAGAGAAAUAUAGGGACAAUGACG
Sparus aurata (gilthead seabream) is the source of this 3209-nucleotide long non-coding RNA. Lineage: Eukaryota; Metazoa; Chordata; Actinopteri; Spariformes; Sparidae. The record is from Ensembl.